Long non-coding RNA from Hibiscus syriacus, 413 nucleotides. RefSeq lists it as uncharacterized. The record is from RefSeq and is a predicted model, not a curated record. The transcript is spliced from 6 exons. NCBI's taxonomy places the organism in Eukaryota, Viridiplantae, Streptophyta, Magnoliopsida, Malvales, Malvaceae.
AAUCUGGAGGUAUGUAAUGUUACUGCUGCAUGCUUGGAUUCCAUCUCUGCUCUUGUCGCUUUGGCAUACUUAAAUCCUGGAAGAUGUGGCCUAACUGAUGAUGGAUGUGACAAGUUUUCUGGACUUAAGAAUUUGAAGGUAUUGAACCUGGUAUUUAACAAUAUAACAGAUGCAUGCAUAGUGCACCUAAAAGGAUUAACAAAUUUGGAGAGCCUGAAUUUAGAUUCAUGUAAAGUUGGGGAUUAAGGCCUUGCUCAUUUGACAGGCCUGUCACUCCUCAAAAGUCUAGAGUUGUCCGACAUUGAAGUCGGGAGCAAUGGGCUACGGCACCUCUCUGGUUUGACUCAUCUGGAGACCUUGAAUCUGUAAUUCACUUUAGUGACUGAUAGUGGUCCAAAAAAGUUGUCUGGAUU